RNAcentral lists this non-coding RNA (29 nucleotides) under Rattus norvegicus (Norway rat). The record is from RNAcentral. Lineage: Eukaryota; Metazoa; Chordata; Mammalia; Rodentia; Muridae.
UGUCCUACCAGACUUGGAGCUUCAACUUU